This 301-nucleotide ribosomal RNA is filed under the name uncultured bacterium. RNAcentral's name for it is "partial 16S ribosomal RNA". It matches the Rfam family "Bacterial small subunit ribosomal RNA", at positions 509 to 807 of the family's 1533-position model. The record is from RNAcentral.
CAGUCGCCGCGGGAAUACGGAGGGUGCAAGCGUUAAUCGGAAUUACUGGGCGUAAAGCGCACGCAGGCGGUCUGACAAGUCAGAUGUGAAAUCCCCGGGCUUAACCUGGGAACUGCAUUUGAAACUGUCAGGCUGGAGUCUUGUAGAGGGGGGUGGAAUUCCAGGUGUAGCGGUGAAAUGCGUAGAGAUCUGGAGGAAUACCGGUGGCGAAGGCGACCCCCUGGACAAAGACUGACGCUCAGGUGCGAAAGCGUGGGGAGCAAACAGGAUUAGAUACCCCGGUAGUCCCUGUCUCUUAUAC